Molecule: non-coding RNA, 97 nt
Filed under: uncultured Mediterraneibacter sp.
Lineage: Bacteria; Bacillati; Bacillota; Clostridia; Lachnospirales; Lachnospiraceae
Description: S10-Clostridia ribosomal protein leader
Rfam family: S10-Clostridia ribosomal protein leader
Source: RNAcentral
UGAUAGCUGUGAAGCGUGAGGUUGCUGCCGGCGCAAAAACAUAAGCGCAGGGCAGGUUUUCCGUGGAGCGAAUGUCAAGUUAGGAAACUGGCGACAA